This is a long non-coding RNA of Cavia porcellus (domestic guinea pig), 710 nucleotides long. RefSeq lists it as uncharacterized. The transcript has 2 exons. NCBI's taxonomy places the organism in Eukaryota, Metazoa, Chordata, Mammalia, Rodentia, Caviidae. The record is from RefSeq and is a predicted model, not a curated record.
CAGUCACCAGAUCUGGUGCAGUGCAACUCCUGGCUUUUCCCCAAAGUCACAAUGACCAGGAAAUGGAAACAUUUUGGAGUUUGGUGUGGGAGUUGUUUUCUUUUGUUUUUGUCUAAGACAGGGUCUCACUAUGCUGUUCAGGAUAGCCUUGAGCUCAUUUUAUAGCCCAAGCUGGUCUCAAACUUUGCAACAGUUCUCCUGACUCAGCUCCCAAGUGCUGGACUUAUAGCUAUGCACCACCAUACCUAGCUCCUUUUUUAACAUUUUUAAUUCUUUCAGGACGUCAAGGCAGCCAGGCAGCCAGAAUAGCAAAGCAAAAGACCCUCAUGAAAGACGACUCCACAGCUGCUGCAGGAAGUGGCAAAGAUAAUUCAAUAAGUACCUUCAAAGCACAAGGAAGCAUUUUCAUGGAGAUUAAUUAUAAUGUACCUUUUAUUACCUGAAAAAUAUACGCAAAAUGAAGACAACGGUUUCACACUGGUAACUACCAUGAGCCAACAAGCACAGCAGCAGCCAGGGGUGAUGGUGCAGGCCCACGAUCCCAGCCCUCUGGGAGGCUGAGGCUGAAAGAGUGUAAGUUUGAGCUCACCCUGGGAACCCGGCAAGGUCUGCCUUAAAAUUACACAAAAAUAAAUAAAUAAAAGAGGCUGGGGAGCCCCAUACAAAGGCCCUGGCUUCAAUCCUCAACACCACCAAAAAGAAAAAGCAAA